CUAAGGCUGAUGGCGACCGGCGCACGGGUGAGUAACACGUAUCCAACCUGCCGAUGACUCGGGGAUAGCCUUUCGAAAGAAAGAUUAAUACCCGAUGGCAUAGUUCUUCCGCAUGGUGGAACUAUUAAAGAAUUUCGGUCAUCGAUGGGGAUGCGUUCCAUUAGGUUGUUGGCGGGGUAACGGCCCACCAAGCCUUCGAUGGAUAGGGGUUCUGAGAGGAAAGUCCCCCACAUUGGAACUGAGACACGGUCCAAACUCCUACGGGAGGCAGCAUG
RNAcentral lists this ribosomal RNA (275 nucleotides) under uncultured bacterium. RNAcentral's name for it is "partial 16S ribosomal RNA". It matches the Rfam family "Bacterial small subunit ribosomal RNA", at positions 79 to 353 of the family's 1533-position model. The record is from RNAcentral.